UGGAUGUGUGUGCUCGCGUUAUGCC
This 25-nucleotide unclassified non-coding RNA is filed under the name Mus musculus (house mouse). Its description in RNAcentral is "oocyte_clustered_small_RNA12388". Lineage: Eukaryota; Metazoa; Chordata; Mammalia; Rodentia; Muridae. The record is from RNAcentral.